Molecule: long non-coding RNA, 4422 nt
Organism: Octopus sinensis (East Asian common octopus)
Lineage: Eukaryota; Metazoa; Mollusca; Cephalopoda; Octopoda; Octopodidae
Exons: 2
Source: RefSeq, a predicted model, not a curated record
CUCUCUAGGUUUGUGCAAUUGGUUUUUAAUGCCCAGCGGCAUGCACUGCAGGCUGUUGUGCUUAAUAAACAUACAUUUUGUCGCGAAAUUCCGGCUACAAGGAAUUGAUUUUCAUUGCUUUUUGCCCUCAUUUUCUUUUUUAAUCUUUUUAUAAAAUUGAAAGGAUUUCUUCUAUUUAUUUCUGCUGUCCACUUACGACGGUGAUUUGGUUGACUAGGAAAACUAUACUUGAUGAAUAUCCAAUACCAAACUAUCUUAAUCUACAUAUUGAAACUGCAUUAAACUUUGGUAAGCUUACCUUUGCCUAUUCUGAGUUACUUGAAAGGUGAUGUUCCCUUCCCUCUCUUCUGAUUGUUGAUACCGUUGUUUCACUUUAAGGAUGCUUCUUUACCCAGCCAUUAUGAUAUUUGGACUGCUGUCUAUUGUUUCAAAUAGGUUUUAGCAUUGUCAUUCUAGCCUUUUUUAAACACUCACAUAUGAUUUGUCCCAAAGAAUCAACCUUUAAAUAAAAGUUUUGCUUCCACUCAUGAAAGCUAUACGUAUCUUUCAGGAAGCUCCAUACCAAUUUAACUUUAUACAGCAUUCGCUGUUUAUGUGCACGCUAUGUGGAAAGAUAGAAUAAAGGGGCUUUUGUUAGCUUUUCUCUCCGAAAAAAAUAGCUCCCUUUGCUGUUGAAAAAGAUACUCACAAAGGGGAAGUUUCAACAUCUUCCUUCAAUUUCCGUACACCAAGAAAUUUCGCUUUUAUGUUAAACAACUAUAUUUUGUAGUCAUCAUCCAUAAUCUACUCCCAAAACACUUCAGUAGCUCUACUUUACAUCGCUUGCAAACUUAUAUGUUCUAUGAUAAUCAAAGUGCAACAACCUCCACAAUAACCAGCCUUCAAUUUGAUUUUCUGUUCCUAGGUUAAUCGGAAACAGAUUGCCAUGCUACACAUAAACCUUUUCUGUAGUUCAAUCAUUUGGUGAAAAAAAUACCACGAAAGCAACUUAAACUGUCCAAAGGACAGGUGCAUUUGCUAGUUCUAACAAUACAUUAGACAGUUUAUAUGUUACAGCUGUUGACCCUAUUAACCACCAACACAGAAGCAAUGAAGAGUGAACAUGGAACAGUGGGAGGGGGAAAACAUCUUGAAUAACAAUGGCAAUUUCUGAUUUGAUAGAAACAAAAAGCAGAACUACAACAAAGAUGAGCACCUUGAUAUCCCUAUAACAGCAUUUUUAUUUAUUUAUUUUCUAGGCAGAAGUUAAGGUAGUGCUCUUGACCCUUUUACAAUACCACUGAGGUUGGUAGGGUAGAGAGGUCUCCUCACCUGAAUAUUUGCAACAGUGGACUCCACUAAAGAUACUCACGGUGUCAGGUGGUACUUUUAGUCUAUGACACAAGUAAGCCAUAGUAGGAUUUGAUAUUAAAACAAACAGCUGGAGCCCAAUGUUCUUACGGUUCUACUAAUCUGUUGUUCUGGAUUAGAACUAUGAGUCUGAAAGGAUGAAAUGCAAAGUUGAGUUCAGAAUGUGCCAAGUUGGAACAAAUACCACCAGGCAUUCUGGCUGAUGCUCUAAUGACAAUACAUUGUCUUGAUAUCUGUAGGAAAAAUAAACUUUAAUAUAUAUAUAGCUGCAGGCAUGGUUGUGUGGUUAAGAAGCUCGCUUUACAACCAUAUGAUUUCAGGUUCAGGCCCACUGCAGGUGUCUUCUAUUAUAGCCCUGGACUAGCAAAAACUUUGUGAGUUAAUUUGGUUGACAGAAAUUGUGUGGAAUCCCUUUGUGUGUGUGUGUUUCUUUCUCUCUCUCUUUCCUUUGUUCUGGCACCACUUGACCUAGACAACUGGUAUUGGUUUGUCCCUAUAAUCUAGAAGUUUGACAAAAGACUGAUAAAAAAAGUGCUAGACUUUAAAAAAAUAAGUACUGGGGUCAAUUUAUUCAACUAAAACCCUUCAAGUUGGUGCCCCAGCUUGGCCACAACCCAGAGACUGAAACAAAUAAAAUGAGUAGUUUUAAAUUAGGUGGAUUAUUAGGGAUCAUAAGAAACAUCAUUUAGUGCCAUAAUGUCUAGCUCCUCCAAAGGGGAGAGAUACAGACUAUCACCCAUUAGCAGAGACAGUGAUACUGAUUAUCUCCCCAAAUAAUCCAACAGCUGUGCAGACUGUCAGUCAAGUGAACAUGUUUCUUCACCAAAAUUGGAUUUGAUCCAAUGAGGAAGUGUCUUUGGUGUUGUUUCACCUGCUUGAAAAAGUUACCAAAUUCCCAUCAACUCGCUUUGUACCAUUUUAUAAAAUGCAUUGGAUAAUAUGUACAUGGAUAUGCAAGAUGAUGGAACAGUCACAGGAGCAUCUUUCAUCAUCAUCGUUUAACCUGGAUUUGGUAUAAUGAAUCAUUUAAAAUAGUAAGUAGAUUUUAUCCAUCAUUUGAUUUAGCAUCCCUACCUGGCCAUUAGGUUCUUUUAGUCAAGCCCUCUCUAUUUGGGGCAGGUCCCCUGUGUAAGAAUAACUCCCUCCUUUGAGUCUCACCAGCUUUGUAAAGGGGCAUAAGCACUACUCUUUUUCCUCACUAAACAAUAAUGUGUGUUGUUUAGUUUGAUAGUAGCCACUUGGUAAUGUAGGUGUAAAAAUGCUAGUAGAGUGAAAUAGGGAUGGUGGUGGUAUAACAUUGAUGAUGGUUAUGGAGUAGUGAUUACUAUUAAACAUGGGUUUAAAGAUGUCAGGUGCAGAACAAACCUGACAGAUACUCCUCUCUCUCCUUCCUGUCACAAUAAGAAGACAACUCUGAAUAUUUAGAAAAAAAUUUAUUUUGGACACAUUGUCCUUAUUUUGAUACACACACACUGUACAAUAUGCUGUAUACAUAUGCACAUACUAAACAUGCUGCACACAUACACACUGCAGAAAUCAUUGGUGAUACAAAUUUCAGUUGUUUGGCCAAACUCACACACACUCUGCAAAGAGAUGCGGUCUACACCUACAGGUACAUCCUACUAGACAUGCCAAUAGCUCAUACACACACACGCACAAACAUAGCAAUACAUUUAUGGUUUUUAGUAUGUUAUAUACAUCAGAUGAGGUUUCUUUUAUAUACACUGCUGUUUUUUUUUUACAUAUUUUUGAAAAAGUGUCAAUGCUUACAACUAAUUUCACCCUUUCACUUCCAAUAACUGAGGCUGGGACUUCUACCUAGUUAAAAUUGUCAGUUAUAUGCACAUACAUCGUACUUACAUAAAACACUUGAACUAGCAAGGAAACCACUAUGGUCAUUUGGACUACAAGAAACAACAGCCUAAUGACCAUUAAAUCACAUCAUACCAACUUUAAGAAGAUAUUUAAUACAUUGGAUAAUGUAUGUAGUAUUAGAUGUGUGUAUGUGUAGUGCUUGUAAAUAGAAAAAAAUAGAUGGAAUGGUCAUAUCAGGAAUGCUUUUGAUCACAAGUUUGCUCUGUCUGGUCCAGCUUGGGGUCAAAAUGAGGACAACACCACCACACCAUGUAUAUGUAAAAAAAUGACAUACAUGAACACAAACACAGAUUCAUAAAUACAUGAAUAUACAUAGAUAUAGGUGUGUCUAUGUGGUUUGGGGUUCUAUGCCACUGUAUGAUACCUUGAGGAAGUGCCUUAUAUGGCUUCAACUAAAUGCUCACAAGAGUAAAACUGGUACUUGGAAACUGUAUAGAAGCCUGUUGUGUGUGCAUGAAUUUUUAUAUACUGCAUCUUUGCAUGACAAUCUGAGCAACAAUGAUGUCAUCUUUGCAUUCCUUGUAAACAAUAUGUCAAGAAUCAGUGGAAAAUAAAGUCACUUUCUUGAAAAGCAGUGUAAGGGUGGCAACAGAAAGGAUGUCCAACCACAAAGCACUGCUUCAAUAAGCCUCCAUCCAACUGAAGCCCACAUGGAAAAAUGAAUGUAAAAGAAGUUAAUAGACAAGUAGACAUAAAUAUGCACACACACAUUACAAUUGCAGCAAGUCAUAUAACAUGCUAGAAAUAGCAGUCAAAUCUUACUAUAUUGUCUUUAAAAAGAUAUUGGAUAAUGUAGUCAUAGAUACACUAUACUUGGGAAAAGACAAGAUGUUUAUAGCUGGAUCAAGACUGAUCUACAGUUUAGCAAUAAUCAAAACAGUUUUCCAAUCACAGUGUGUACUUCAACAGUAAUGUUUCCAUUGUGCUGAAUCUUCCUGUCCUCCACUACUCAACAUGACCCCUCCAUAAGUAUAUUGCCUGAUGAUAAAACUAUCACAUUUAAUGCCGUUUCAUCUCAUACAAUAGAGCUCUGUUCUGCUCCAUUUGUCUCCAGUGUAUCACGACUGACUUAGGGCUAAACCACAAUGAGCAGACCCAGACCAACCAUUAAGUAAAAUAAUCAUGUGCUUUCAACAUCAAAAGUUUUUCCUGGAUUUACAGAAAUUAAUAAAAAAAAGUCUAAAAGAUUUGUAUUUU